Molecule: transfer RNA, 86 nt
Filed under: Deltaproteobacteria bacterium
Lineage: Bacteria; Pseudomonadati; Myxococcota; Myxococcia
Description: tRNA-Leu
Rfam family: tRNA
About the family: Transfer RNA (tRNA) molecules are approximately 80 nucleotides in length.
Source: RNAcentral
GGGGGCGUGGCGGAAUGGCAGACGCAGGGGAUUCAAAAUCCCCCGAGUGUAUACUCUUGUGGGUUCAAGUCCCACCGCCCCCACCA